GCGGUAAUUCCAGCUCCAAUAGCGUAUAUUAAAGUUGUUGCAGUUAAAAAGCUCGUAGUUGAAUUUCGGGGUUAGUAGGUUGGUCAUGCCUCUGGUAUGUACUGGUCUCACUGAUUCCUCCUUCCUGAUGAGCCGUAAUGCCAUUAAUUUGGUGUUGCGGGGAAUUUGGACUGUUACUUUGAAAAAAUUAGAGUGUUUAAAGCAAGCUAACGCUUGAAUACAUUAGCAUGGAAUAAUGAAAUAGGACGUUUGAUUCUAUUUUGUUGGUUUCUAGGAUCGACGUAAUGCUUAAUAGGGAUAGUUGGGGGCAUUAGUAUUCAAUUGUCAGAGGUGAAAUUCUUGGAUUUAUUGAAGACUAACUACUGCGAAAGCAUUUGCCAAGGACGUUUUCAUUAAUCAAGAACGAAAGUUAGGGGAUCGAAGACGAUCAGAUACCGUCGUAGUCUUAACCAUAAACUAUGCCGACUAGGGAUCGGAUGAU
RNAcentral lists this ribosomal RNA (481 nucleotides) under uncultured Glomus. Its description in RNAcentral is "SSU rRNA". It matches the Rfam family "Eukaryotic small subunit ribosomal RNA", at positions 576 to 1061 of the family's 1831-position model. Lineage: Eukaryota; Fungi; Glomeromycota; Glomeromycetes; Glomerales; Glomeraceae. The record is from RNAcentral.